GCUGGGAUCGUAUAAAGGCUAGUGCGUUCGGUUGUGGUCCGAACAAUCCGGGCUCAGUCCCGGCA
This 65-nucleotide transfer RNA is filed under the name Giardia duodenalis assemblage B. RNAcentral's name for it is "Giardia intestinalis assemblage B tRNA-His". Lineage: Eukaryota; Fornicata; Diplomonadida; Hexamitidae. The record is from RNAcentral.